This 464-nucleotide ribosomal RNA is filed under the name Leptodactylus mystaceus (basin white-lipped frog). Its description in RNAcentral is "partial 16S ribosomal RNA". It matches the Rfam family "Bacterial large subunit ribosomal RNA", at positions 1925 to 2541 of the family's 2925-position model. Lineage: Eukaryota; Metazoa; Chordata; Amphibia; Anura; Leptodactylidae. The record is from RNAcentral.
CAACGGCCGCGGUAUCCUAACCGUGCGAAGGUAGCGUAAUCACUUGUUCUUUAAAUGAGGACUAGUAUGAAUGGCACCACGAAGGUUAUACUGUCUCCUUUUUCUAAUCAGUGAAACUAAUCUUCCCGUGAAGAAACGGGAAUAAAAAUAUAAGACGAGAAGACCCUAUGGAGCUUUAAACAAAUAUACACCUGCCUCUUUACCAAAAAUUUCAGAAGACAAGUAAUUACCCGGACAUUUUGAUAUAGCGUUUUAGGUUGGGGUGACCGCGGAGCAAAAAAUAACCUCCGCAGCGAACGGGAGUAUUCCCUAAACCAAGGGCCACAACCCCAAGUAUUGAUAAAUCAACACCAAUUGACCCAAUAAAUUUGAUCAAUGAACCAAGUUACCCUAGGGAUAACAGCGCAAUCCACUUCAAGAGCUCCUAUCGACAAGUGGGUUUACGACCUCGAUGUUGGAUCAGG